CCUACGGGUGGCAGCAGUGGGGAAUAUUGCACAAUGGGGGAAACACUGAUGCAGCGACGCCGCGUGAGUGAAGAAGUAAUUCGUUAUGUAAAGCCCUAUCAGCAGGGAAGAAAAUGACGGUACCUGAGUAAGAAGCACCGGCUAACUACGUGCCAGCAGCCGCGGUAAUACGUAGGGGGCAAGCGUUAUCCGGAUUUACUGGGUGUAAAGGGAGCGUAGACGGCAGUGCAAGUCUGGAGUGAAAGGCUGGGGCUCAAACCCCGGACCGCUCUGGAAACUGUACGGCUGGAGUGCAGGAGAGGUAAGUGGAAUGCCUGGUGUAGCGGUGAAAUGCGUAGAUAUUAGGAGGAACACCAGUGGCGAAGGCGGCUUACUGGACUGUAACUGACGUUGAGGCACGAAAGCGUGGGGAGCGAACAGGAUUAGAUACCCGAGUAGUC
RNAcentral lists this ribosomal RNA (440 nucleotides) under uncultured bacterium. RNAcentral describes it as "partial 16S ribosomal RNA". It matches the Rfam family "Bacterial small subunit ribosomal RNA", at positions 338 to 795 of the family's 1533-position model. The record is from RNAcentral.